AUAAUCAAGUUGGAGAGUAAUUUUCUUCAAACAAAUAUUGUGACAGUAAAAUAAAUUUAUAAGGAACAAGACAAUGCAUUUUACAGAAGUGAAAAACAAGCAUAUAAGGGAGGAGGAAGGCUAUGCACCUUUAGAGCCUGAAGGAAUUCUUUCACUACAAUGAAAAAUGAAGGAAGAAUCCUGGCAGAUAAGGAACAUGAAGACCAGAAAUUAUACCAGAAACUUGCUAAAUGUCAUUAAGUAUAUUCUCAACUGCCCCAUACCCAAAAAAGUAGGAAACUGUAGACCUUUUCUUGAUUCUUGAAAAAUAAAAAAAUAUAUAUAUAAAGCUAUUGAUUGUAU
RNAcentral lists this long non-coding RNA (342 nucleotides) under Monodelphis domestica (gray short-tailed opossum). RNAcentral describes it as "lncRNA (ENSMODG00000035770.2)". Lineage: Eukaryota; Metazoa; Chordata; Mammalia; Didelphimorphia; Didelphidae. The record is from RNAcentral.